AACGAACGCUGGCGGCAUGCCUAACACAUGCAAGUCGAACGAGACCGUCGGGUCUUGGUGCGCACGGGUGCGGAACGCGGGGGGAGCUGCCCUUAGGUUCCGUAUAACUCCCCGAAGGGUGAGCUAAUACCGGAGAAGGUCUUCGGAGCAAAGAUUUAGUGCCUUUGGAUGGGGCCGGGUUGGCUUAGAUGGUUGGUAGGGGAAAAGCAAACCAAGGCCACGAUGCAGAGCUGGUCUGGGAGGAUGCCACGGCACACUGGGGAUGAGGCCCGGCCCAGACUCCUACGGGAGGCAGCAGUGGGGAAUAUUGGAGGAUGGGCGAAAGCGUGAUCAAGCCAUGCCGCGUGAGUGAUGCAGGCCUUAGGGUUGUAAAGCUCUUUUACCCGGGAUGAUAAUGACAGUACCGGGUGAAUAAGCUCCGGCUAACUACGUG
Molecule: ribosomal RNA, 433 nt
Filed under: uncultured bacterium
Lineage: Bacteria
Description: partial 16S ribosomal RNA
Rfam family: Bacterial small subunit ribosomal RNA
Source: RNAcentral